Columba livia (rock pigeon) is the source of this 458-nucleotide long non-coding RNA. RefSeq lists it as uncharacterized. The transcript has 3 exons. Lineage: Eukaryota; Metazoa; Chordata; Aves; Columbiformes; Columbidae. The record is from RefSeq and is a predicted model, not a curated record.
UAAGGACCAUAUUUUUGCCAGCUCUGCGAUCUGACCAGCGCCCUUAUCAGCCUGGGCCUCACAAGUGACCGAAUGCAGUUUCUUAUUUAUUUAGGCACGCAAAGGAUACACAGCAAAGCAGAUAUCGCAGUAACAUACUACAGACAGAGCUGUGCUUAUCCACCCUGCGCAAAGAGGGAGAGGAGAAAGUCUGAAACAAACAUGGGAAUUUCCUGCUAGAAAAAUCCACAAAGGAGCAGAUCCACUGCCCGCGGUGCUCCAUUUGCUCCUUCACAGGAGAUGUGCUGCAAGCAGUCGUUUGGUGUCUGCUGCUCCAGGUUGCUAACAGCUCUUGAAGAGCUCUUUAGGGCCAGGCUUAAGGUAGACAAGCCCUUUUGCUGAUCUCAUUUGGUGCUGAGGCUCCCUCACCAGCUCAGGAUUAAGGUAGCUCUCCUCUACAACUAGCUUGUUCCAGUUAC